This 253-nucleotide unclassified non-coding RNA is filed under the name uncultured Halomonadaceae bacterium. RNAcentral describes it as "contains 16S-23S intergenic spacer region". It matches the Rfam family "Bacterial small subunit ribosomal RNA", at positions 524 to 776 of the family's 1533-position model. The record is from RNAcentral. Lineage: Bacteria; Pseudomonadati; Pseudomonadota; Gammaproteobacteria; Oceanospirillales; Halomonadaceae.
UACGGAGGGUGCAAGCGUUAAUCGGAAUUACUGGGCGUAAAGCGCGCGUAGGUGGCUUGAUAAGCCGGUUGUGAAAGCCCCGGGCUCAACCUGGGAACCGCAUCCGGAACUGUCAGGCUAGAGUACAGUAGAGGAGAGGGGAAUUCCCGGUGUAGCGGUGAAAUGCGUAGAGAUCGGGAGGAAUACCAGUGGCGAAGGCGGCCUUCUGGACUGACACUGACGCUGAGGUGCGAAAGCGUGGGUAGCAAACAGG